Molecule: long non-coding RNA, 442 nt
Organism: Helianthus annuus (common sunflower)
Lineage: Eukaryota; Viridiplantae; Streptophyta; Magnoliopsida; Asterales; Asteraceae
Exons: 2
Source: RefSeq, a predicted model, not a curated record
UAAUCAACAAAAUUCCAUACAACACCGUCUUAUGCUUAAACCCCGUCUUAUGUGUACAUAGCACCCUUUAGACGGUGUUACCUUUGAACACCGUCUUAUAUACUCAUCAAAUUCAAAUCGCAGAAGCUCCAACAACCCACCAAAUCUUCAUCUUUCUUCCAACUUUCUCACCUUCUUCAUUCUCUCAUCUUCUUCAUCCAACUUUCUCACCUUCUUCACUUAAUUUCAUCAUUAAGAAGCUUUUAAAGCUUUAAGAUGGAUCGCGAUUGGAUGUACUACCGAAAUCGUACAGAUGAAAUAUAUAUAAUGGGUGUUCAAAGUUUUCUUAAGGCCGCCGAAGCUCAUCGCGUGAAUAUGGGAGAUCGAUUAAUAUUUUGUCCCUGUGCAUCGUGUACAAAUUUUCAAAAAUUUGAUAUCAAAGAAAUAAACUUUCAUUUGUUUA